Molecule: long non-coding RNA, 1358 nt
Organism: Herpailurus yagouaroundi (jaguarundi)
Lineage: Eukaryota; Metazoa; Chordata; Mammalia; Carnivora; Felidae
Exons: 2
Source: RefSeq, a predicted model, not a curated record
AGAAGAAGAAGAAGAAUUAAACAUACCCCAGGCACCAGGAGAACGUACCCUGGGAUAUCUAAUCGCCUUUGGGUCCCGGGAAGGCUUCUCAGCAGAAAGGAUGACCCGGUUAAGAUCCAAGGGGUUAAGUAGGAAGCAGCUAAAGGAGAAAGGGGAGGUAUGGGGAAGAGCAGUCCAGGCAGAGGGAACAGCAUGGUUGAAGGUCUGGAGGCGGGAGGGAGCACAGCUCACGAGUUGCUGGCUGAGGCAGCAGGAGGAUGGUUGGCAAGGGAGGGCUGAGUCAAGGUGACUCUACAGAGGACAGCCGAGCCAGGCUCGUGGGCUGAGGACAAGACUCCAGCUUCUUCCUCCCUUUGGGUGAGGCGUUGCUUAGUCGCGAUCAGCAGGAAGCGAUGUGGUCAGACUUGUACUGGCAUCAUGAGUGCAAAAGCCUCCAGUUUGGGAGCGUUCAGGUGUACGUGACCACGAGGGGAGGACGAAUUCACCUCAGCCGCGGCUGAAGUUUAAACUGAUGUGUUUCCAAUCUACUACGGGUUGACCUUCACGUCGUUCCGUAACGUAUUUCACUUAACAGACGCCAGUGUUGCGUCACCACGCGUCAGGUGCCGUUCUACGUGCUUCUUGCUUCGGAAACAUCCGCUCGCUCCGUCCUCACCGUGACCUUGUGACUUCAGCGCCGUGAUUAUUAUCCUGUUUGAAAGAAGAGGCGACCGGGGCGGGGCGUUCACGCCUGGAUGGCAGAAGGCAGCACCAGACGGCUCCAGAAGUUUCCAUUGCCCGGUGUCUGGGCUAGGUUUCUGCCACUUGUAACCCAAAGAAUCUUAAUUAAUGGCGAUAGUUAUUUCAACUGAGCGUAUAAUUUCGCCCGAGGUCUCUGGAAAGCCAAAGCAAAAAGUGAACCACACAACUCUCGUGCUCUGACAUCACAAACCCCAAUGCACCAUGAAAGAGCGCCUUUCCUCAAGGGCUCGGGCCGUUUUCUCAUGGUCUUUCGCACUGGUGGCCCGGAGCGACAUCUUCCACAGCUGUUUUGGAAAUGACGCAGAAACAUUCCUCAUGUGGCAGGCUGCCUCUUGGACUGAACCUUGACAAAAGACCAGCAACAGAAACCAAGCGUCAGUCAGCGUGCGUGAGGACCUCCUACGUCUUUACCCAGAGAGGCAAACGGGCCACGGGGCUUGGGGUCUGGCCAUUAAUUGCCCCUGGCCCCUCUCUAUGGCCUCCUCAGGAGCACCUCCAAGUGCCGCUCUGAAGUUCGACUAACCCGUCAUCUCUUUGGUUGGAAGGUUGGUGUUUCCUUGCGAGACCACAAAGCCAUAUUACAUUCAAAGUUAAAUAAACAAACGUUCGAGUCUGUG